RNAcentral lists this ribosomal RNA (133 nucleotides) under Cebus imitator (Panamanian white-faced capuchin). Lineage: Eukaryota; Metazoa; Chordata; Mammalia; Primates; Cebidae. The record is from RNAcentral.
GUCUAUGGCCAUACCACCCUGAACGCGCCCGAUCUCAUCUGAUCUCAGAAGCUAAGCAGGGUCGGGCCUGGUUAGUACUUGGAUGAGAGACACUUUCCAUACCUCAAGAAAUAUCUUCUGGGCAUCACCAUCU